GUCUACGGCCAUGCCACCCUGAAGCUAAGCAGGGUCGGGCCUGGUUAGUACUUGGAUGGGAGACCACCUAGGAAGACCAGGCGCUGUAGGUG
RNAcentral lists this ribosomal RNA (92 nucleotides) under Pteropus alecto (black flying fox). Lineage: Eukaryota; Metazoa; Chordata; Mammalia; Chiroptera; Pteropodidae. The record is from RNAcentral.